RNAcentral lists this ribosomal RNA (374 nucleotides) under uncultured Paenibacillus sp. RNAcentral's name for it is "bacterial SSU rRNA". It matches the Rfam family "Bacterial small subunit ribosomal RNA", at positions 1059 to 1433 of the family's 1533-position model. The record is from RNAcentral. Lineage: Bacteria; Bacillati; Bacillota; Bacilli; Caryophanales; Paenibacillaceae.
CUCGUGUCGUGAGAUGUUGGGUUAAGUCCCGCAACGAGCGCAACCCUUGAUCUUAGUUGCCAGCAUUUCGGAUGGGCACUCUAAGGUGACUGCCGGUGACAAACCGGAGGAAGGUGGGGAUGACGUCAAAUCAUCAUGCCCCUUAUGACCUGGGCUACACACGUACUACAAUGGCCGGUACAACGGGCUGUGAAGCCGCGAGGUGGAACGAAUCCUAAAAAGCCGGUCUCAGUUCGGAUUGCAGGCUGCAACUCGCCUGCAUGAAGUCGGAAUUGCUAGUAAUCGCGGAUCAGCAUGCCGCGGUGAAUACGUUCCCGGGUCUUGUACACACCGCCCGUCACACCACGAGAGUUUAUAACACCCGAAGUCGGUGG